This 275-nucleotide ribosomal RNA is filed under the name uncultured bacterium. Its description in RNAcentral is "partial 16S ribosomal RNA". It matches the Rfam family "Bacterial small subunit ribosomal RNA", at positions 338 to 610 of the family's 1533-position model. The record is from RNAcentral.
CCUACGGGGGGCAGCAGUGAGGAAUAUUGGACAAUGGCCGCAAGGCUGAUCCAGCCAUGCCGCGUGCAGGAUGAAGGCCCUAUGGGUUGUAAACUGCUUUUCUACGGGAAUAAACCCCUUUACGUGUAAAGGGCUGAAGGUACCGUAGGAAUAAGCACCGGCUAACUCCGUGCCAGCAGCCGCGGUAAUACGGAGGGUGCAAGCGUUAUCCGGAUUCAUUGGGUUUAAAGGGUGCGCAGGCGGGAUUUUAAGUCAGUGGUGAAAGCCCGAGGCUC